Molecule: ribosomal RNA, 971 nt
Filed under: Enterococcus sp.
Lineage: Bacteria; Bacillati; Bacillota; Bacilli; Lactobacillales; Enterococcaceae
Description: bacterial SSU rRNA
Rfam family: Bacterial small subunit ribosomal RNA
Source: RNAcentral
CAGUCGAACGCUUCUUUUUCCACCGGAGCUUGCUCCACCGGAAAAAGAGGAGUGGCGAACGGGUGAGUAACACGUGGGUAACCUGCCCAUCAGAAGGGGAUAACACUUGGAAACAGGUGCUAAUACCGUAUAACAAUCGAAACCGCAUGGUUUUGAUUUGAAAGGCGCUUUCGGGUGUCGCUGAUGGAUGGACCCGCGGUGCAUUAGCUAGUUGGUGAGGUAACGGCUCACCAAGGCGACGAUGCAUAGCCGACCUGAGAGGGUGAUCGGCCACAUUGGGACUGAGACACGGCCCAAACUCCUACGGGAGGCAGCAGUAGGGAAUCUUCGGCAAUGGACGAAAGUCUGACCGAGCAACGCCGCGUGAGUGAAGAAGGUUUUCGGAUCGUAAAACUCUGUUGUUAGAGAAGAACAAGGAUGAGAGUAACUGUUCAUCCCUUGACGGUAUCUAACCAGAAAGCCACGGCUAACUACGUGCCAGCAGCCGCGGUAAUACGUAGGUGGCAAGCGUUGUCCGGAUUUAUUGGGCGUAAAGCGAGCGCAGGCGGUUUCUUAAGUCUGAUGUGAAAGCCCCCGGCUCAACCGGGGAGGGUCAUUGGAAACUGGGAGACUUGAGUGCAGAAGAGGAGAGUGGAAUUCCAUGUGUAGCGGUGAAAUGCGUAGAUAUAUGGAGGAACACCAGUGGCGAAGGCGGCUCUCUGGUCUGUAACUGACGCUGAGGCUCGAAAGCGUGGGGAGCAAACAGGAUUAGAUACCCUGGUAGUCCACGCCGUAAACGAUGAGUGCUAAGUGUUGGAGGGUUUCCGCCCUUCAGUGCUGCAGCUAACGCAUUAAGCACUCCGCCUGGGGAGUACGACCGCAAGGUUGAAACUCAAAGGAAUUGACGGGGGCCCGCACAAGCGGUGGAGCAUGUGGUUUAAUUCGAAGCAACGCGAAGAACCUUACCAGGUCUUGACAUCCUUUGACCACUC